CCUACGGGUGGCAGCAGUGGGGGAUAUUGCACAAUGGGGGAAACCCUGAUGCAGCAACGCCGCGUGUGGGAAGAAGGUUUUCGGAUUGUAAACCACUGUUCUUGGUGAAGAUAAUGACGGUAACCAAGGAGAAAGCUCCGGCUAACUACGUGCCAGCAGCCGCGGUAAUACGUAGGGAGCAAGCGUUGUCCGGAUUUACUGGGUGUAAAGGGUGCGUAGGCGGUCUUGCAAGUCAGACGUGAAAACCACAGGCUCAACCUGUGGACUGCGUUUGAAACGGUGGGGCUUGAGUGAAGUAGAGGUAGGCGGAAUUCCCGGUGUAGCGGUGAAAUGCGUAGAGAUCGGGAGGAACACCAGUGGCGAAGGCGGCCUACUGGGCUUUAACUGACGCUGAGGCACGAAAGCAUGGGUAGCAAACAGGAUUAGAUACCCGAGUAGUC
RNAcentral lists this ribosomal RNA (440 nucleotides) under uncultured bacterium. Its description in RNAcentral is "partial 16S ribosomal RNA". It matches the Rfam family "Bacterial small subunit ribosomal RNA", at positions 338 to 795 of the family's 1533-position model. The record is from RNAcentral.